This 503-nucleotide ribosomal RNA is filed under the name Vibrio splendidus. RNAcentral's name for it is "bacterial SSU rRNA". It matches the Rfam family "Bacterial small subunit ribosomal RNA", at positions 8 to 491 of the family's 1533-position model. The record is from RNAcentral. Lineage: Bacteria; Pseudomonadati; Pseudomonadota; Gammaproteobacteria; Vibrionales; Vibrionaceae.
AGAGUUUGAUCUGGCUCAGAUUGAACGCUGGCGGCAGGCCUAACACAUGCAAGUCGAGCGGAAACGACACUAUYRAUYCUUCGGAKGAUUUAAUGGGCGUCGAGCGGCGGACGGGUGAGUAAUGCCUAGGAAAUUGCCUUGAUGUGGGGGAUAACCAUUGGAAACGAUGGCUAAUACCGCAUAAUGCCUACGGGCCAAAGAGGGGGACCUUCGGGCCUCUCGCGUCAAGAUAUGCCUAGGUGGGAUUAGCUAGUUGGUGAGGUAAUGGCUCACCAAGGCGACGAUCCCUAGCUGGUCUGAGAGGAUGAUCAGCCACACUGGAACUGAGACACGGUCCAGACUCCUACGGGAGGCAGCAGUGGGGAAUAUUGCACAAUGGGCGAAAGCCUGAUGCAGCCAUGCCGCGUGUAUGAAGAAGGCCUUCGGGUUGUAAAGUACUUUCAGUUGUGAGGAAGGGUGUGUAGUUAAUAGCUGCGCAUCUUGACGUUAGCAACAGAAGAAGC